Molecule: microRNA precursor, 73 nt
Organism: Chinchilla lanigera (long-tailed chinchilla)
Lineage: Eukaryota; Metazoa; Chordata; Mammalia; Rodentia; Chinchillidae
Gene: MIR191
Product: microRNA 191
Source: Ensembl
GCGGGCAACGGAAUCCCAAAAGCAGCUGUUGUCUCGAGAGCAUUCCAGCUGCGCUUGGAUUUCGUUCCCUGCU